CCGGCGAUGUCCGAAUGGGGAAACCCAGUGCAAUUCGUUGCACUAUCGUUAACUGAAUACAUAGGUUAACGAGGCGAACCGGGGGAACUGAAACAUCUAAGUACCCCGAGGAAAAGAAAUCAACCGAGAUUCCCCCAGUAGCGGCGAGCGAACGGGGAGCAGCCCAGAGUCUGAAUCAGCUUGUGUGUUAGUGGAACGGUCUGGAAAGUCCGACGGUACAGGGUGAUAGUCCCGUACACCAAAAUGCACAGGCUGUGAACUCGAAGAGUAGGGCGGGACACGUGGUAUCCUGUCUGAAUAUGGGGGGACCAUCCUCCAAGGCUAAAUACUCCUGACUGACCGAUAGUGAACCAGUACCGUGAGGGAAAGGCGAAAAGAACCCCGGCGAGGGGAGUGAAAAAGAACCUGAAACCGUGUACGUACAAGCAGUGGGAGCACCUUCGGGUGUGACUGCGUACCUUUUGUAUAAUGGGUCAGCGACUUAUAUUCUGUAGCAAGGUUAACCGUAUAGGGGAGCCGCAGGGAAACCGAGUCUUAACUGGGCGUUAAGUUGCAGGGUAUAGACCCGAAACCCGGUGAUCUAGCCAUGGGCAGGUUGAAGGUUGGGUAACACUAACUGGAGGACCGAACCGACUAAUGUUGAAAAAUUAGCGGAUGACUUGUGGCUGGGGGUGAAAGGCCAAUCAAACCGGGAGAUAGCUGGUUCUCCCCGAAAGCUAUUUAGGUAGCGCCUCGUGAACUCAUCUUCGGGGGUAGAGCACUGUUUCGGCUAGGGGGUCAUCCCGACUUACCAACCCGAUGCAAACUACGAAUACCGAAGAAUGUUAUCACGGGAGACACACGGCGGGUGCUAACGUCCGUCGUGAAGAGGGAAACAACCCAGACCGCCAGCUAAGGUCCCAAAGUCAUGGUUAAGUGGGAAACGAUGUGGGAAGGCACAGACAGCCAGGAUGUUGGCUUAGAAGCAGCCAUCAUUUAAAGAAAGCGUAAUAGCUCACUGGUCGAGUCGGCCUGCGCGGAAGAUGUAACGGGGCUAAACCAUGCACCGAAGCUGCGGCAGCGACACUAUGUGUUGUUGGGUAGGGGAGCGUUCUGUAAGCCUGCGAAGGUGUGCUGUGAGGCAUGCUGGAGGUAUCAGAAGUGCGAAUGCUGACAUAAGUAACGAUAAAGCGGGUGAAAAGCCCGCUCGCCGGAAGACCAAGGGUUCCUGUCCAACGUUAAUCGGGGCAGGGUGAGUCGACCCCUAAGGCGAGGCCGAAAGGCGUAGUCGAUGGGAAACAGGUUAAUAUUCCUGUACUUGGUGUUACUGCGAAGGGGGGACGGAGAAGGCUAUGUUAGCCGGGCGACGGUUGUCCCGGUUUAAGCAUGUAGGCUGGUUGUCCAGGCAAAUCCGGAUAAUCAAGGCUGAGGUGUGAUGACGAGGUACUACGGUGCUGAAGUAACAAAUGCCCUGCUUCCAGGAAAAGCCUCUAAGCAUCAGGUAACAUUAAAUCGUACCCCAAACCGACACAGGUGGUCAGGUAGAGAAUACCAAGGCGCUUGAGAGAACUCGGGUGAAGGAACUAGGCAAAAUGGUGCCGUAACUUCGGGAGAAGGCACGCUGGUGUGUAGGUGAAGUCCCUGCGGAUGGAGCUGAGACCAGUCGAAGAUACCAGCUGGCUGCAACUGUUUAUUAAAAACACAGCACUGUGCAAACACGAAAGUGGACGUAUACGGUGUGACGCCUGCCCGGUGCCGGAAGGUUAAUUGAUGGGGUUAUCCGUAAGGAGAAGCUCUUGAUCGAAGCCCCGGUAAACGGCGGCCGUAACUAUAACGGUCCUAAGGUAGCGAAAUUCCUUGUCGGGUAAGUUCCGACCUGCACGAAUGGCGUAAUGAUGGCCAGGCUGUCUCCACCCGAGACUCAGUGAAAUUGAACUCGCUGUGAAGAUGCAGUGUACCCGCGGCAAGACGGAAAGACCCCGUGAACCUUUACUAUAGCUUGACACUGAACAUUGAGCCUUGAUGUGUAGGAUAGGUGGGAGGCUUUGAAGCGUGGACGCCAGUCUGCGUGGAGCCAACCUUGAAAUACCACCCUUUAAUGUUUGAUGUUCUAACGUUGGCCCCUUACCGGGGUUGCGGACAGUGUCUGGUGGGUAGUUUGACUGGGGCGGUCUCCUCCCAAAGCGUAACGGAGGAGCACGAAGGUUAGCUAAUCCUGGUCGGACAUCAGGAGGUUAGUGCAAUGGCAUAAGCUAGCUUGACUGCGAGCGUGACGGCGCGAGCAGGUGCGAAAGCAGGUCAUAGUGAUCCGGUGGUUCUGAAUGGAAGGGCCAUCGCUCAACGGAUAAAAGGUACUCCGGGGAUAACAGGCUGAUACCGCCCAAGAGUUCAUAUCGACGGCGGUGUUUGGCACCUCGAUGUCGGCUCAUCACAUCCUGGGGCUGAAGUAGGUCCCAAGGGUAUGGCUGUUCGCCAUUUAAAGUGGUACGCGAGCUGGGUUUAGAACGUCGUGAGACAGUUCGGUCCCUAUCUGCCGUGGGCGCUGGAGAAUUGAGGGGGGCUGCUCCUAGUACGAGAGGACCGGAGUGGACGCAUCACUGGUGUUCGGGUUGUCAUGCCAAUGGCACUGCCCGGUAGCUAAAUGCGGAAGAGAUAAGUGCUGAAAGCAUCUAAGCACGAAACUUGCCCCGAGAUGAGUUCUCCCUGAGACUUUAAGUCUCCUGAAGGAACGUU
Molecule: ribosomal RNA, 2712 nt
Filed under: Klebsiella pneumoniae
Lineage: Bacteria; Pseudomonadati; Pseudomonadota; Gammaproteobacteria; Enterobacterales; Enterobacteriaceae
Description: partial 23S ribosomal RNA
Rfam family: Bacterial large subunit ribosomal RNA
Source: RNAcentral